This 730-nucleotide ribosomal RNA is filed under the name Phyllactinia buddlejae. RNAcentral describes it as "eukaryotic LSU rRNA". It matches the Rfam family "Eukaryotic large subunit ribosomal RNA", at positions 1 to 744 of the family's 3401-position model. Lineage: Eukaryota; Fungi; Ascomycota; Leotiomycetes; Helotiales; Erysiphaceae. The record is from RNAcentral.
UUGACCUCGAAUCAGGUAGGGAUACCCGCUGAACUUAAGCAUAUCAAUAAGCGGAGGAAAAGAAACCAACCGGGAUUACCUCAGUAACGGCGAGUGAAGCGGUAACAGCUUAAAUUUGAAAUCUGGCUCCCUGCGGAGUCCGAGUUGUAAUUUGUAGAAGAUGCUUUGGGUGCGUGGCCCGGCCUAAGUUCCUUGGAACAGGACGUCGUAGAGGGUGAGAAUCCCGUAUGCGGCCGGGGCGCCUGCCCAUGUAAAGCUCUUUCGACGAGUCGAGUUGUUUGGGAAUGCAGCUCAAAAUGGGUGGUAAAUUUCAUCUAAAGCUAAAUAUGGGCCAGAGACCGAUAGCGCACAAGUAGAGUGAUCGAAAGAUGAAAAGCACUUUGGAAAGAGAGUUAAACAGUACGUGAAAUUGUUGAAAGGGAAGCGCUUGCAACCAGACUUGGGCGUCGCUGAUCAUCCAAAGUUUUCUUUGGUGCACUCGGCGAGGCACAGGCCAGCAUCGGUUGGGGUGGUGGGAGAAAGGUCGUGGGAACGUAGCUCCUUUCGGGGAGUGGUAUAGCCUGCGGCGCAAUACCACCUACUCCGACCGAGGACCGCGCUUCGGCUAGGAUGCUGGCGUAAUGGUUGUAAGCGACCCGUCUUGAAACACGGACCAAGGAGUCUAACAUAUAUGCGAGUGUUUGGGUGCAAAACCCAUACGCGUAAUGAAAGUGAACGUAGGUGAGAACCC